GCUAGGUGUGGUGGUGCAUAUCUGUAAUCCAAACAACUUGGGAGGCUGAGGCAGGAGGACUGCAAGUUCAAAGCCAGCCUCAU
RNAcentral lists this small RNA (83 nucleotides) under Marmota monax (woodchuck). The record is from RNAcentral. Lineage: Eukaryota; Metazoa; Chordata; Mammalia; Rodentia; Sciuridae.